Molecule: ribosomal RNA, 3702 nt
Organism: Salpingoeca sp.
Lineage: Eukaryota; Choanoflagellata; Craspedida; Salpingoecidae
Rfam family: Eukaryotic large subunit ribosomal RNA
Source: Rfam
UGACCUCAGGUCAGGCAAGGGUACCCCCUGAACUUAAGCAUAUCACUAAGGGGAGGAAGAGAAACUAACAAGGAUUCCCUCAGUAACGGCGAGUGAAGCGGGAAGAGCUCAAGCAUUGGAAUCUCCACAAGCUUCUUUUUUGUGGCGAGUUGUAGUCUUUAUGGGAUGCGGGCCGUCGCAUGUCUUUGUGAUGGUGCACAGCUUUUGUUGUGCAUUGUUGUUUGGCGCAGCACCGAGUUUCCUUGGAAGAGGACACCGGAGAGGGUGAGAGUCCCGCUGGUGCUAGUUUAUUUGCGCUGAUGUGCGGUGUGUGGUCCGUUUAUUCUCUUGAGUCGGGUUGUUUGGGAAUGCAGCCCAAAGCCGGGUGGUAAACUGCAUCCAAGGCUAAAUACUGGCACGAGACCGAUAGCGAACAAGUACCGUGAGGGAAAGAUGAAAAGCACUUUGAAAAGAGAGUUAAACAGUACGUGAAACCGUUGACAGAGAAUCGCUUGCAGCUAGCAGAGACUGGGCGCGCCUUGUGAUCAGGGUUUUUGGUGUGGUGUGUGAUGACGGUGCGGGGGGUGUAUUGUGUGCACUUGUUGCACAUAUGCGCCGCUGCGUUGCUGUUGUUGUGUGCUGCGCUGCCUGCACUCGCGGGGCGUGUCUGCCAGCAUGAGUUUUGUGUGUGAGAGACGGCGAUGCGAGGGCGCCCUUGUGCGUGGCGCAUCUGCUUUUUUAUGUUUCUGUCGCACGUGGGACUGAGGAAAUUAUCGAUGCGGUGGCUUUGUUAUGUGGUCUUUGGCAUGGGUGCUGUUUUCGGCAUUGUGUUGCGCAGACUCUUGUUUUGGGAUGAGAGACUCGUUCUCUUGUGCUGUUGACAGAGUGUGUGCGGGCAGUGUUGGGAAUGUUGCGCUUGCCGCUUGGCGCACACCACCGGGGAGAUGCUGGCGACAGGGCUGCAAACGGCCCGUCUUGAAACACGGACCAAGGAGUCUAACAUGUGCGCGAGUGUUUUAGCGAGCAUGAAGCUAGGGCGCGCAAUGAAAGUGAGAGGUGGGAUGCAGUGUUGGGAAGUGUGCGUGAGUACACUUUUAACAGCAGCACUCGCAGCACCAUCGACCGAUCUGGAUUGGGGGAGGGGAAAGGGGUGUGCGGUGGCUCCACCCUCCUCCGCUGAAGGAUUUGCGUUUUAGCGCAGAUGUUAGGACCCGAUAGAUGGUGAACUAUGCCUGAGUAGGGCGAAGCCAGAGGAAACUCUGGUGGAGGCUCGUAGCGAUCAUGACGUGCAAAUCUGUCGUCGAACUUGGGUAUAGGGGCGAAAGACUCAUCGAACCAUCUAGUAGCUGGUUCCCACCGAAGUUUCCCUCAGGAUAGCUGAGACUUAUUUUAUGAUCUUUUGGUUAGUUUUAUCUGGUAAAGCGAAUGAUUAGAGGCCUUGGGGGAGCCACUUCCCUCAACCUAUUCUCAAACUUUAAAUGGGUAAGGCGGCGCGCUUUCUUUGUUUAUGAAGCGGGCAAUGCUGAAUAACCGAGUCUCAAGUGGGCCAUUUUUGGUAAGCAGAACUGGCGAUGCGGGAUGAACCGAACGCGGAGUUAGGGUGCCGGAAUCGACGCUCAUGAGAACCCACAAAAGGUGUUGGUUGAUAUAGACAGCAGGACGGUGGCCAUGGAAGUCGGAAUCCGCUAAGGAGUGUGUAACAACUCACCUGCCGAAUCAACUAGCCCUGAAAAUGGAUGGCGCUCAAGCGUCGUACCUAUACUCCGCUGUGUGUGGAAGAGAGCGAGCGAAGCGAGCAUUCGUGCUUGUUGCGUCUCAAAACUACAUGUAGCCACACACAAGUAGGUGGGCGUGGAGGUGUUUGCGUGAGAGCAAUCUUUUUGCCGUGGAAGCCUGUGGCGUGAGCCUGGGUGGAGGGGCCUCCAGUGCAGAUCUUGGUGACAGUAGCAACGAUUCAAAUGAGAGCUUUGAAGACUGAAGUGGAGCAAGGUUCCGUGGGAACAGCAGUUGGCCACGGGUGAGUCGGUCCUAAGAGAUGGGGCAGUCCUGUGUCAAGUGGGGAGUUGUUGCGUGUGUGUGGGUGGUGGUGAUAUUAUCGCCAUGCUUGCACACGUGUUGAAUACCCCAGUCCAUCGAAAGGGAACCAGGUUAAGAUUCCUGGACCAACGCACGCCACAAAGAAUGUUUUGAUAGAGCAGCGGCAACGCGUACAAACUCGGAGACGCUGCCGGGGGCCCUGGAAAGAGUUUUCUUUUCUUUUUAACGAGCUGCAUUGUGGGGGGGAGUAGGGGGAAGAGUGUUAGUUUAUUCUGCGCUCUUCAACCUUCCUCGUCGCAUUCUCUGACCCUGGAAUCAGUUUGGCUGGAGAUGGGGUGAGAGGCUCGGCAAAGCACCACUGACCUCUUUUUGUUGUGGUGUCCGGCGCGUUCCCGGCGGUCCAUGAAAAUCCGAGGGUGUGAAUGGUAGCAGUGUGGGGGGAAGAAGAGAAGCACUUGUGCUAAUCUAUUUUCUCCGCUGCAUGUGGGCGUGGUUGGCCGUACUGAUAACCGCAGCAGGUCUCCAAGGUGAAGAGCCUCUAGUUUGAUAGACGAAUGUAGGUAAGGGAAGUCGGCAAAAUAGAUCCGUAAGCUCGCGAUAAGGAUUGGCUCAAGAGGUUGAUUGUGUGUGUGGGUGUGGGGGUGAAAGGGGGUGUGCUUGCAUGCCGUUCUUGCACCUCUACAUUCUGCGCACACUAUUUUUUAGCAACCGAUCUUGAACUGGUACGGACAAGGGGAAUCCGACUGUUUACUUAAAACAAAGCAUUGCGAGGAUAGGCUGUUGCGACGGUGUAGACGCAAUGUGAUUUCUGCCCAGUGCUCAGAAUGUCAACGUGAAGAAAUUCAAGCCAAGCGCGGGAUCAACGGCGGAAGUAACUAUGACUUUCUUAAGGUAGCCAAAUGCCUCGUCAUUUAACUGGUGACGCGCAUGAAUGGAUUAACGAGAUUCCCACUGUCCCUAUCUACGCUCUAGCGAAACCGCAGCCAAGGGAACGGACUUGGCACAAUCAGCGGGGAAAGAAGACCCGCUAGAGCUUGACUCUAGUCCGACCGUGUUAGGGUUAGAGAGGUGUAGCAUAGGUGGGAGCAAAUGCAUUAAAUUGUGCUUGCGGCCUUGAAAUACCACUACUCUGGUCGUUUUUUUGCUUAUUGAAUGACACGGGGCUGGUGUGGGUGAUUGUGGUGUGCGUAGCGCGCAUUUCUUGUGUGAGCUGUGCGCACCCGAUCACACAUGUGCACCAUUUCUGGAGAAAGGGAGGGCAGCGUGGAGUGCUUCUUGCGCUUCAUGUUAUGCCGAUCCCGACCCGCUUUCAAGACGAGGUCAGGUGGGGAGUUUGGCUGGGGCGGCACAUCUGUAAAACGAUAACGCAGGUGUCCCAAGGUGAGCUCAAUGAGAACGGAAAUCUCAUGUGGAGUAAAAGGACAAAAGCUCACUUGAUUUUGUGAUUUUCAGGAUGAAUACAAACUGUGAAAGCAUGGCCUAUCGAUCCUUUAGUCGCGGCGGAUAAGAGUGAACAACGCACUCGUGCGUCUAAGCUCCCAUUCUGCACUGCGCCUGUUGACAGCUUCAACCUAGAGGUGUCCGAAAAGUUACCGGCGGCUCUGGCAACCAGGGGAUAUUCCUCGUUGCCUUGGUUAUAUCUAUACCAUCGUGUAAAUGAUCAUAUCCCUCACUUGUUUAUUCCAU